RNAcentral lists this long non-coding RNA (421 nucleotides) under Ananas comosus (pineapple). RNAcentral describes it as "long non-coding RNA (ACOM_LNC019772)". Lineage: Eukaryota; Viridiplantae; Streptophyta; Magnoliopsida; Poales; Bromeliaceae. The record is from RNAcentral.
GACGAUCUCGAGCCCCGGGGACCUACCACACUCGGUCCUCGAUGAGAUGUGUUGUUUGUGGGUGUCCUCAUUACCCACAACAGUGUGAGCAGCGAGAGGGCAAGUUCUACAGGUGUGGGCAACCGGGCCGUGCGCCAAACGAGUGUCCGCAAGGCGGUAGCCGAGCCCUAAUACUAGCGAUGGUCUUUUCCUCUCCGGGACAGCCUGCAGGUGUGCCACCUGCGGCGUGGUCGGAAGAGCGGGCGUUAAGGACGAUGCAACCGGAGGGUUUGCGGUGGGCGCCAAGUGGCUAUGGAUACGCGACCCGAGUUGUGGAGCCUGCUGCUACCGACGACAUCAUGGCAGGUAUGAUUUUGUUGAAGCAAGUGACCAAUGAUAUAGAAUGGCAAGAGGUAUAAAUGGUGGACAUGAUCUAUGGAUA